Molecule: ribosomal RNA, 253 nt
Filed under: uncultured bacterium
Lineage: Bacteria
Description: partial 16S ribosomal RNA
Rfam family: Bacterial small subunit ribosomal RNA
Source: RNAcentral
UACGUAGGGUCCGAGCGUUGUCCGGAAUUACUGGGCGUAAAGAGCUCGUAGGUGGUUUGUCGCGUUGUCCGUGAAAACUCACAGCUCAACUGUGGGCGUGCGGGCGAUACGGGCAGACUGGAGUACUGCAGGGGAGACUGGAAUUCCUGGUGUAGCGGUGGAAUGCGCAGAUAUCAGGAGGAACACCGGUGGCGAAGGCGGGUCUCUGGGCAGUAACUGACGCUGAGGCGCGAAAGCCAGGGGAGCGAACGGG